CUGCCUGCCCUGUGACUUGGAAGUUCAACGGCCGCGGUAUUUUGACCGUGCAAAGGUAGCGUAAUCACUUGUCUUUUAAAUGGAGACCAGUAUGAAUGGCAUAACGAGGGCCAAACUGUCUCCUUUUUCUAGUCAAUGAAAUUGAUCCUCCUGUGCAGAAGCAGGAAUACCCCCAUAAGACGAGAAGACCCUAUGGAGCUUUAGACACAAGACAACCCAUGUUAAAAAACUAAAUUAAUAGAAAAAACAAAGUGGCAUUUGUCCUUUUGUCUUUGGUUGGGGCGACCAUGGAGUAGCAAAAAACCCCCAUGUGGAACAGGGCCUACCCCCUUAAAACCAGAGCCACAGCUCUCACCAACAGAACAUCUGACCAACAAGAUCCGGCAAAGCCGAUCAACGGACCUAGUUACCCUAGGGAUAACAGCGCAAUCCCCUUUUAGAGCCCAUAUCGACAAGGGGGUUUACGACCUCGAUGUUGGAUCAGGACAUCCUAAUGGUGCAGCCGCUAUUAAGGGUUCGUUUGUUCAACGAUUAAAGUCCUACGUGAU
RNAcentral lists this ribosomal RNA (548 nucleotides) under Taenioides sp. Gracilis TK-2011. RNAcentral describes it as "partial 16S rRNA". It matches the Rfam family "Bacterial large subunit ribosomal RNA", at positions 1854 to 2604 of the family's 2925-position model. Lineage: Eukaryota; Metazoa; Chordata; Actinopteri; Gobiiformes; Gobiidae. The record is from RNAcentral.